UCAUCUGCUGCUUUAUGUAUCUUCUACAAACACAGAAAAUAGUUACUUGUGACAUAAAGUCAGUGUAAUAAUACUGUCAUCUAGAAAAAUUAGCAAUGCAGAGAGCUGGCUGCAUGACAAAAAGAAAAAAGAAAAAAAAUCCAAAAAUAAUCAAAUAUCCAAUAUCUAAUCUGGUAAUUGGCCACACCAGUAUCAGUGAAGCCACAGUUCUCAGCUUGGCGUUACAUUAAAAUAAGAGGAGAGGCUUUGAUAACAAAGAAGAGGGAAAACCCAACUGCAUACAAGUGUUACAUACAAAACAGGUGAUAUCAGCAUCUUAAACUUGACGAUGCUCUUUUAGCCGUGUCAUAAUGUCAGGAAAUUUGAAUUCAAACUCAAAAACAAUUUAAGGGUUUGUUUACAGAAAACUCGGGAGUCACAGACUCUGAACUGCUGAGUAAACAGGUAACUGGAUCCUUUACAGGAGCGUCACAGGGACUUCUGCCAAAGAGGGGAGGACACGUUAGAGCUGGCUGAGGUAAUUGUUUCUGUCACGGUUUGAAGUUGUUUAGAGAUUUGGUUUGAUUGCUUACUUGUUUCUCUUCUCUAUAGCAGGCUGCAGCGAGGGAGCCAGAAGAACAGAGGCUCUUAAUACCUGCUGUGAAGCAGUCAGAACAAAUUAUGGCUGGUUUGACAGGAUUAACAUCAUUUGCUCUCGUACACUGUAAUGUUUCAAUGUUUUCAUUGUCGUGGGAAAGGUUUACCCAACAUAACCCCCACACCCACCCAAGACUCUGUGUUUUCCAUAUAGGCUGACACAUAACAGCAUCAGUCCCCCAUACGCAGGCUCAAACAGAAGGAGAGAUUCACUAAAUGAAUAAAAGUGGUGGCACAUUACCCCUACAGGAGCCCCUACUCAACCCAUACGAAGCUCCCGGUGCACGUUUUCUGUGCUGAUGGUCUUUUUCUUCAUCGUUAUGUCCUGGCUUGGCUUGAGUUAUGUUGCCCUAUAACUUUGUGUGUCAACUGGUUGAGUUGAUGUGGUUCUUAGACACUUCCAGUUUAAAAUAAUACCAGUUACAGUUGAUUAUAGAAUGUCCAGGGAACAAAUUGCACUUGUUGCAUUUAUUAUAUAUAUUUAUAUACUUGUGCUAACUAGGCCAAUUCAAAGAUAUUGAAUUUGACCCAGUACAGCACAGUUUAUCUAAUUUAGAUUGGGACUAACAAAAAUGGAUCGCAGGUGAAAGUUGUAAUCCUUUUGUAAAUUGGAAACAGAGUUGGGUGGAUAAUAUGAGCGCAUUGUGCAACACAGUCAUGUGUUCUGGCGAGCUGAGCGUCCUACAAAAACACGAGAGACGUGACUACAACCUGCCUUCCUCCCCUCGCCUCCAACCAGAUGACCGCCCCUCCCUAGAGCUCUGGGUUGCUCCCCAACUGGGUCUAGAGAGUAUUUUAAAUUCAGGGAAUUUAAAAUAGAAAGUAGCUCGUCCACAGAAGGACUGGUAGCUCCCCUUACGAUAAGGGUUCAGAUCGCGCAAACAGGUGUGAAAUGUGUGUGUUUAGUUAGUUAGUUUGUUUGCUUGUUUUAAUCAAUUUUAAAUCAUGCUUUUUAUUUGUUUUUGUUUCUAAUGUCUCUGUAAAGCACUUUGAAUCACCUUGUUGUUGAAUUGUGCUAUACAAAUAAAUUUGCCUUGCCUUGCCCUGAGCCUGGUUCUACUGGAGGUCACUUCCAGUUAAAGGGGAUUUCUUCCCUCCCACAGUUGCCAAGCGCUUGUUCAUGGGGGUGUUUUGAUUGUC
Molecule: long non-coding RNA, 1776 nt
Organism: Astatotilapia calliptera (eastern happy)
Lineage: Eukaryota; Metazoa; Chordata; Actinopteri; Cichliformes; Cichlidae
Source: Ensembl